RNAcentral lists this ribosomal RNA (257 nucleotides) under uncultured bacterium. RNAcentral's name for it is "partial 16S ribosomal RNA". It matches the Rfam family "Bacterial small subunit ribosomal RNA", at positions 96 to 353 of the family's 1533-position model. The record is from RNAcentral.
UGGCGGACGGGUGAGUAAUGUCUGGGAAACUGCCUGAUGGAGGGGGAGUAACUACUGGAAACGGUAGCUAAUACCGCAUAACGUCGCAAGACCAAAGAGGGGGACCUUCGGGCCUCUUGCCAUCGGAUGUGCCCAGAUGGGAUUAGCUAGUAGGUGGGGUAACGGCUCACCUAGGCGACGAUCCCUAGCUGGUCUGAGGGGAUGACCAGCCACACUGGAACUGAGACACGGUCCAGACUCCUACGGGAGGCAGCAUG